This 120-nucleotide ribosomal RNA is filed under the name uncultured bacterium. Its description in RNAcentral is "partial 16S ribosomal RNA". It matches the Rfam family "Bacterial small subunit ribosomal RNA", at positions 796 to 915 of the family's 1533-position model. The record is from RNAcentral.
CAUGCCGUAAACGAUGUCUACUAGCCGUUGGGGUCUUUGAGACUUUAGUGGCGCAGCUAACGCGAUAAGUAGACCGCCUGGGGAGUACGGUCGCAAGACUAAAACUCAAAUGAAUUGACG